This 253-nucleotide ribosomal RNA is filed under the name uncultured bacterium. Its description in RNAcentral is "partial 16S ribosomal RNA". It matches the Rfam family "Bacterial small subunit ribosomal RNA", at positions 524 to 776 of the family's 1533-position model. The record is from RNAcentral.
UACGGAGGGGGCGAGCGUUAUUCGGAAUUAUUGGGCGUAAAGGGUAGGUAGGUGGUCUCAUUUGUCUGGGGUGAAAGCCUUGAGCUUAACUCAAGAAGUGCCCCAGAAACGGUGAGACUGGAGUCCUGGAGAGGGUCGUGGAAUUCCCGGUGUAGCGGUGAAAUGCGUAGAGAUCGGGAGGAACACCAGAGGCGAAAGCGGCGACCUGGACAGGCACUGACACUCAACUACGAAAGCGUGGGGAGCAAACAGG